UGAAACUGGUAUUCUUGAGGGCAGGAGAGGUCAGUAGAAUUCCUGGUGUAGCGGUGGAAUGCGUAGAAAUCAGGAGGAAUACCAGUGGCGAAGGCGGCUUUCUGGACUGCCCCUGACGCUG
Molecule: ribosomal RNA, 121 nt
Filed under: uncultured bacterium
Lineage: Bacteria
Description: partial 16S ribosomal RNA
Rfam family: Bacterial small subunit ribosomal RNA
Source: RNAcentral